Spinacia oleracea (spinach) is the source of this 981-nucleotide long non-coding RNA. RefSeq lists it as uncharacterized. The transcript is spliced from 4 exons. Lineage: Eukaryota; Viridiplantae; Streptophyta; Magnoliopsida; Caryophyllales; Amaranthaceae. The record is from RefSeq and is a predicted model, not a curated record.
GCAACUAUUUAGAAACGAUGCUAAACGAUGCUUUGACAACCCGAUGGCCCCAUGAGCUCCUUGAGUCCUUGUGCUAGCUCGCGACAUUCGCGCUCCACGACACACAUUCAGCUCACAAUCAAAGCCAAGAUGAAGCAGAAAAAUGGCACCAAUGUGUCGAUUAAAUCAUCCCUUACGAAUUCAAGGGAAUGGGUAGCUUAUCAACUUCAGCAGAAGAUGUGUGCAGCAACCCCUCAAUUUGUAAUCCUAAGCGUAAUUCUAGAAGCUAGCUUGUCAUCAGUAACUUUUCAACCACUUUCAGCAGACAUUACUGAUGUUAUCACCAUUCAUUAAUCACUAUGGAAAUUCUCAUGGAGCAUGCAGGCUAAGGAACUCCAGAAGUGACGCAAACGGUGGAUAGAACCAUCGUAUGCAUGAUAAAACUCAGAUAUUACAAGAUGAGAUUUAUCACUUUGUGUUUUAUGGCUUCUGCAAGGUUUCUUUCCUAAUGGCAUUCUUGAGUUUUGUGUUUGAUAUAUCGAGAAAUAGCUUUGUGCAAGAGAUUGUCCGGAAAAUGAUGAACACUUGAACAACCGAGAUGAUCUGUGCCCUUGAUCAUCAAAUGUAGUUUUAUUGCCAAGUUUUUCUAUGGUCUGGCUGAUUCUCGAGUUUUAGUGCUACAGCUUCUUGGCUUCUUGCCCAUUUUCCAUUUGCAAUUUCAAAAAGGCUGGAAAUGGCUUCAUAAAAUGUGUAACAUAUAUCAAUAAAUAGCUUGAUAUUUGGUCAUAUGUAUCAUAAAUCUUGUAAAGUAAACUCUAGUAUUGACCGUGAUCUUGUAAAGUGAUCUUUAUUAUUGAUCGUGAUCUUGUAAAGUGAACUCUGGUAUUGACUGUGAUCUUGUAAAGUGAUCUCCAAUGACCGUGAUCUUGUAAAGUAAACUCUAUUAUUGACCGUCGUCUUGUAAAGUGAACUUUAUUAUUGACUGUGAAAGUUUACGAUCAA